UUGGUGGGGUAACGGCCCACCAAGGCCAUCACCAAUAGGGGAAUUGAGUAGGUUCAUCCCCCACACGGGAACUGAGACACGGUCCAGAACCCUACGGGAGGCAGCAGUGGGAGAAUCUUGGUCAAUGGAGGCAACUAAGAACCAGCCACGUCGCGUGAAGGAUGAAGGCGAAGGGGGUAGUAAAUUUGUUUUUAGGGGGAAUAAACGGGGUCACGGGUGACCCUUGGCACGUACCCCGCGAAUAAGGAUCGGCUAACUCCGUGCCAGCAGCCGCGGUAAUACGGAGGAUCCGAGCGUUAUCCGGAUUUAUUGGGUUUAAAGGGUGCGCAGGCGGGUUGUUAAGUCGGUGAAGAAAUCCCGGGGCUCAACCCCUGGCUUGCCAUAGAAACUGGUUACCUUGAGUGAGGGGGAGGCAGGAGGAAUUGGUGGUGUAGCGAAGAAAUGCAUAGAUAUCACGAGGAACUCCGAUCGGGUAGGCAGCUUGCCAUUCCAUAACUGACGGUCAUGCAAGAAGGGGUGGGGAUCAAACAGGAUUAGAUACCCUGGUAGUCCACGCGGUAAACUAUGAUUACUGGUGUUGGCGAUACACUUGAGCGAGGAGCGAAAGC
Molecule: ribosomal RNA, 608 nt
Filed under: uncultured bacterium
Lineage: Bacteria
Description: bacterial SSU rRNA
Rfam family: Bacterial small subunit ribosomal RNA
Source: RNAcentral